GAUGAACGCUGGCGGCGUGCCUUAUACAUGCAAGUCGAGCGAAAAGAUGAGGAGCUUGCUCCACUGACGUUAGCGGCGGGCGGAAGAGUAACAAGUGGGUAACCUAGCUAUGAGACUGGGCUAGAUUCGGGAAACAGGAGCUCAUACGGGCUAAUAUAUUAAACGGGAUAGUUCAAUAGUGAACGACGGUGGUGCUGUCGCUUAUAGAUUGGUCCGCGCCGGAUUAGCUAGUAGGUAAGGUAAAGGCUUACCAAGGCAACGAUGCGUAGCUGAUCUGAGAGGGUGACCAGCCACACUGGAACUGAGACACGGUCCAGACUCCUACGGGAGGCAGCAGUAGGGAAUCUUCGACAAUGGGCGAAAGCCUGACCGAGCAAUGCCGCGUGCGUGAUGAAGGCCUUCGGAUUGUAAACUGCUUUUAUUCGGGAAGAACAAACGUUUAAUAAACUAUGCACCUCUUGACGGUACCUAAACAGAAAGCCACGGCUAACUACGUG
RNAcentral lists this ribosomal RNA (497 nucleotides) under uncultured bacterium. Its description in RNAcentral is "partial 16S ribosomal RNA". It matches the Rfam family "Bacterial small subunit ribosomal RNA", at positions 28 to 507 of the family's 1533-position model. The record is from RNAcentral.